RNAcentral lists this ribosomal RNA (492 nucleotides) under uncultured bacterium. Its description in RNAcentral is "partial 16S ribosomal RNA". It matches the Rfam family "Bacterial small subunit ribosomal RNA", at positions 29 to 507 of the family's 1533-position model. The record is from RNAcentral.
AGUGAACGCUGGCGGUAGGCCUAACACAUGCAAGUCGAACGGCAGCACAGUAAGAGCUUGCUCUUACGGGUGGCGAGUGGCGGACGGGUGAGGAAUACAUCGGAAUCUACUUUUUCGUGGGGGAUAACGUAGGGAAACUUACGCUAAUACCGCAUACGACCUACGGGUGAAAGCAGGGGAUCUUCGGACCUUGCGCGAUUGAAUGAGACGAUGUCGGAUUAGCUAGUUGGCGGGGUAAAGGCCCACCAAGGCGACGCUCCGUAGCUGGUCUGAGAGGAUGAUCAGCCACACUGGAACUGAGACACGGUCCAGACUCCUACGGGAGGCAGCAGUGGGGAAUAUUGGACAAUGGGCGCAAGCCUGAUCCAGCCAUACCGCGUGGGUGAAGAAGGCCUUCGGGUUGUAAAGCCCUUUUGUUGGGAAAGAAAAGCAGCAGGUUAAUACCCCGCUGUUCUGACGGUACCCAAAGAAUAAGCACCGGCUAACUUCGUG